RNAcentral lists this small nuclear RNA (107 nucleotides) under Jaculus jaculus (lesser Egyptian jerboa). Lineage: Eukaryota; Metazoa; Chordata; Mammalia; Rodentia; Dipodidae. The record is from RNAcentral.
GUGCUCGCUUCAGUAGCACAUAUACUAAAACUGGAAUGAUACAGAGAAAAUUAGCCUGACCCCUAUGUAAGGAUGACAUGCUAAUUCAUGAAGUGUUCCAUAUUUAA